CGAGCGAAGCGGGAAAAGCUCAAAUUUGUAAUCUGGCGUCUUCGACGUCCGAGUUGUAAUCUCGAGAAGUGUUUUCCGUGAUAGACCGCAUACAAGUCUCUUGGAACAGAGCGUCAUAGUGGUGAGAACCCAGUACACGAUGCGGAUGCCUAUUACUUUGUGAUACACUUUCGAAGAGUCGAGUUGUUUGGGAAUGCAGCUCAAAUUGGGUGGUAAAUUCCAUCUAAAGCUAAAUAUUGGCGAGAGACCGAUAGCGAACAAGUACCGUGAGGGAAAGAUGAAAAGCACUUUGGAAAGAGAGUUAACAGUACGUGAAAUUGUUGGAAGGGAAACACAUGCAGUGAUACUUGCUAUUCGGGGCAACUCGAUUGGCAGGCCCGCAUCAGUUUUUCGGGGCGGAAAAGCAUAGAGAGAAGGUAGCAGUUUCGGCUGUGUUAUAGCUCUUUAUUGGAUUCGCCCUGGGGGACUGAGGAACGCAGCGUGCUUUUAGCAUGAGCUUCGGCUUAUCCACGCUUAGG
This 518-nucleotide ribosomal RNA is filed under the name Sporobolomyces patagonicus. Its description in RNAcentral is "LSU rRNA". It matches the Rfam family "Eukaryotic large subunit ribosomal RNA", at positions 90 to 621 of the family's 3401-position model. Lineage: Eukaryota; Fungi; Basidiomycota; Microbotryomycetes; Sporidiobolales; Sporidiobolaceae. The record is from RNAcentral.